CUACGGGCGGCUCCAGUGGGGAAUAUUGGACAAUGGGGGAAACCCUGAUGCAGCAACGCCGCGUGGAGGAUGACACAUUUCGGUGCGUAAACUCCUUUUAUAGGUCAAGAUAAUGACGGUAGCCUAUGAAUAAGCGCCGGCUAACUCCGUGCCAGCAGCCGCGGUAAUACGGAGGGCGCAAGCGUUACUCGGAAUCACUGGGCGUAAAGAGCGUGUAGGCGGAUUAAAAAGUCAGAAGUGAAAUCCUAUAGCUUAACUAUAGAACUGCUUCUGAAACUCUUAAUCUAGAAUAUGGGAGAGGUAGAUGGAAUUUCUGGUGUAGGGGUAAAAUCCGUAGAGAUCAGAAGGAAUACCGAUUGCGAAGGCGAUCUACUAGAACAUUAUUGACGCUGAGACGCGAAAGCGUGGGGAGCAAACAGGAUUAGAUACCCGGGUAGUC
Molecule: ribosomal RNA, 439 nt
Filed under: uncultured bacterium
Lineage: Bacteria
Description: partial 16S ribosomal RNA
Rfam family: Bacterial small subunit ribosomal RNA
Source: RNAcentral